GCUAGAAUGAACGCUGGCGGCAUGGAUUAGGCAUGCAAGUCGAACGUGCUCCCUUCGGGGAGAAAGUGGCGAAAGGGUGAGUAACACGUGAGCAACCUGCCUCCGGAUCCGGAAUAAUCCAGGGAAACUUGGUCUAAAACCGGAUGAAGACAUUGGUCCGCAUGGUCUAAUGUUAAAAUAUUUAUAGUCCGGAGAGGGGCUCGCGGCCCAUUAGCUUGUUGGCGGGGUAAUGGCCCACCAAGGCUACGACGGGUAAGUGGUCUGAGAGGAUGGUCACCCACACUGGGACUGAGACACUGCCCAGACUCCUACGGGAGGCUGCAGUCGAGAAUCUUCCGCAAUGGGCGCAAAGCCUGACGGAGCGAUGCCGCGUGAGGGAUGAAGGCCUUCGGGUCGUAAACCUCUGUCAUCCGGGACGAAAACAAUGACGGUACCGGAAAAGGAAGCCACGGCUAACCACGUGCCAGCCGCUGC
Molecule: ribosomal RNA, 474 nt
Filed under: uncultured bacterium
Lineage: Bacteria
Description: bacterial SSU rRNA
Rfam family: Bacterial small subunit ribosomal RNA
Source: RNAcentral